CCUACGGGUGGCAGCAGUGGGGAAUAUUGGACAAUGGGCGCAAGCCUGAUCCAGCCAUGCCGCGUGAGUGAUGAAGGCCUUAGGGUUGUAAAGCUCUUUUAUCCGGGACGCGGUACCGGAGGAAUAAGCCCCGGCUAACUUCGUGCCAGCAGCCGCGGUAAUACGAAGGGGGCUAGCGUUGCUCGGAAUCACUGGGCGGAAAGGGCGCGUAGGCGGCGUUUUAAGUUGGGGGUGAAAGCCUGUGGCUCAACCACAGAAUUGCCUUCGAUACUGGGACGCUUGAGUGUGGUAGAGGUUGGUGGAACUGCGAGUGUAGAGGUGAAAUUCGUAGAUAUUCGCAAGAACACCGGUGGCGAAGGCGGCCAACUGGACCACCUGACGCUGAGGCGCGAAAGCGUGGGGAGCAAACAGGAUUAGAUACCCUUGUAGUC
RNAcentral lists this ribosomal RNA (431 nucleotides) under uncultured bacterium. Its description in RNAcentral is "partial 16S ribosomal RNA". It matches the Rfam family "Bacterial small subunit ribosomal RNA", at positions 338 to 795 of the family's 1533-position model. The record is from RNAcentral.